RNAcentral lists this long non-coding RNA (1785 nucleotides) under Gadus morhua (Atlantic cod). RNAcentral describes it as "lncRNA (ENSGMOG00000033021.1)". Lineage: Eukaryota; Metazoa; Chordata; Actinopteri; Gadiformes; Gadidae. The record is from RNAcentral.
CACAUGACCCAGCUUGUUUACACCUGCGACGAGCAGCGGGUACGCAGAGGACCCGUCAGUGUACUGCUGGACGACACCGCUUACGCCGAGCGACAACCUAACGCUGGGAAAGGGUUACCUUCUCUAAGGUCCAGCAGAGACCUUGUUAAACCCAACGCUGGACGAUGUGUCAUCGGACCAUUUACGACGGCAGAUAUGUUGCAAGACGUGAAUGGACUUAUGUGAACUGAUCAACUUAACGAUUGUCUUGCAUCUUGUCUGUUAUGCUCUUGAGCUCAGUGUGAUAGUGGAUGGGGUGGUAUCAUAGGUUUCAUGAUAACAUUGUUUCUGCAACAUGAAUUGCAGAUCUUUAACUUACCUAAAAGCAAAUCACCUGACCUUGUUGUUGCAUGUCGGGUUACUUGUUUCUAAGAUAUUGUAGUGUAUGUGUAUGUGUGUACUGUGUAAGUUACUACAAUAUCUAAUUGUAUUCAUCAUCAAUCAAAAAAAAAAAGAAUUAAUUCAGUGUUAUUCCUUGUGGUUAUACCAACCAGGCCAGGCUGAACUAUACUGUGGACAUUAAAUUCAUAAGAUUUGAAUAUUUCUCCAGAUAAAAUAACAAAUAGUCAAAAUAAAUCGCAAGCUACAGGUCAUUCCUUGUGCAUCAAAGUACAACAUGAAGUCAAAAUGAUGAUCAAUCAGACUAAGCGUGAAUUGUUUUUUUUAUUGUUCAUAGGCAUUUUUAUGUAUGCAUAUGUAUUAAAUACAGGUCCUGUGAUCUUCCCAAGCCGUCUGUCCUAAGAGGCCAGUCCAUCCUCAGCCAUCCAUCUCUUCUCUCAGACACCAUGGACGAGACAGAUGUGGAACGUGAGUAAUUAUACAAUUGUAUCGUUGGGACUUUCUUUGAGACUAAGGCUUAAUAAAAAAUAAUAUGUCCGAGCGGUUUGCAUUCAGGGAUGUUGUCAAGGUGAGAUGUGGGAAAAAUAUGAAGAUUUCUUGGCGAAGUGGGUUGUUUCCCUAUUGACCUGAAUACAAUCUAUCAAAGAAAAUAUAUAUCAACAAUAUAUUUGAAAAGGGCACUAAGUUCUAUGGCUAUAGGAAUAACCGUAAUGCACGUCCUCCACAUGGGCUUCAGAGACAAGCCAUUGGGAUUGGUACCCAGGAUAUGCCAUUAUCGAUCGCUGAUCACACCAUUACUUCAUAAUGUAUGGCAUGCAUGUCUUUUUUUGUUUCCUUGGUCCUGUACGCUGCUAUGAUGCUGUAACACAGUUACAGUCUUAACUGGGUUAACACGGUCACAUUAAGCUGUAGCAAAACGGCAUAUGACAUUCCCUAGUCCUUUCCCCAGGACUAUAUUGAACCUUAAAAAACUCAAGCCCUAUCUCUCACAUGUUUGAAUGGGUCUUUUUUUUAAACCAUUCUCUGUUGAUAUGCACCCUUUCGGACCAGUGCAUUGAUUCUACAUGGACACCUUCAAGCCCAUGAAUGAAUGUUUCAGGAAUUUCUUAUUUAAUUGGCCACACAGCCCAGGGAGACUGUGAGUGCAUGUUAGAAGCGUCUUAGAGUACCAUAUUAAGCGCUAUAUACAUUUUAUUUAUUAUUAUUAUUAUUAUUAUUAUGUUGCGAUGCACACUUUAUGUUCACCUCAAGAACGCAUGUGUUACAAAUGACUCAGGAAGUGAACUCCCUUACAUGUCUGAAAUCCCAGUCAGGCUGUAGUAUCUUGUCUCAAGAUACACACUUGGGUGUUGUUUGCCCCUGCCUUGCACUGUGUUGAAUUGUAUCCUAUUUUCCAUUUUUUAAUUA